AGUGAACGCUGGCGGUAGGCCUAACACAUGCAAGUCGAACGGCAGCACAGUAAGAGCUUGCUCUUACGGGUGGCGAGUGGCGGACGGGUGAGGAAUACAUCGGAAUCUACUUUUUCGUGGGGGAUAACGUAGGGAAACUUACGCUAAUACCGCAUACGACCUACGGGUGAAAGCAGGGGAUCUUCGGACCUUGCGCGAUUGAAUGAGCCGAUGUCGGAUUAGCUAGUUGGCGGGGUAAAGGCCCACCAAGGCGACGAUCCGUAGCUGGUCUGAGAGGAUGAUGAGCCACACUGGAACUGAGACACGGUCCAGACUCCUACGGGAGGCAGCAGUGGGGAAUAUUGGACGAUGGGCGCAAGCCUGAUCCAGCCAUACCGCGUGGGUGAAGAAGGCCUUCGGGUUGUAAAGCCCUUUUGUUGGGAAAGAAAAGCAGCAGGUUAAUACCCGGCUGUUCUGACGGUACCCAAAGAAUAAGCACCGGCUAACUUCGUG
This 492-nucleotide ribosomal RNA is filed under the name uncultured bacterium. Its description in RNAcentral is "partial 16S ribosomal RNA". It matches the Rfam family "Bacterial small subunit ribosomal RNA", at positions 29 to 507 of the family's 1533-position model. The record is from RNAcentral.